Molecule: ribosomal RNA, 253 nt
Filed under: uncultured bacterium
Lineage: Bacteria
Description: partial 16S ribosomal RNA
Rfam family: Bacterial small subunit ribosomal RNA
Source: RNAcentral
UACGAAGGGGGCUAGCGUUGCUCGGAAUUACUGGGCGUAAAGGGCUCGUAGGCGGCCAACUAAGUCGGAUGUGAAAUCCCCAGGCUCAACUUGGGAACUGCAUCCGAUACUGGAUGGCUUGAAUUCGGGAGAGGGAUGCAGAAUUCCAGGUGUAGCGGUGAAAUGCGUAGAUAUCUGGAGGAAUACCGGUGGCGAAGGCGGCAUCCUGGACCGACAUUGACGCUGAGGAGCGAAAGCUAGGGGAGCAAACGGG